Long non-coding RNA from Macrosteles quadrilineatus (aster leafhopper), 898 nucleotides. RefSeq lists it as uncharacterized. The record is from RefSeq and is a predicted model, not a curated record. NCBI's taxonomy places the organism in Eukaryota, Metazoa, Arthropoda, Insecta, Hemiptera, Cicadellidae. The transcript has 3 exons.
UUUCAAAAUAUCUGUUUGGUUUUCAAGCCUCUUCAUUUCACAUAAAACUAUUUUUGAUUGGAAUGUGUGUAUUAAGACCAGCCUUUCUAUUUAUUAGCAGGAUAUUCACCUUUGAGAUCAAGGAGCCAGACUUGGGGUAGGAUACAGCUGCAUUAGCAGACGCCAUCGUGAUAUGCCUACAACAAAGAUACGGUAUCAAACGUUUGCUACUCACCUGGCACCAAAGUGCUGAAGGAGAUGGACGUAGUGAAGGCUACAGUUGCGUUGAUUGUCAGACACCACAGUGAUAUGCCUGCAACAAUGCACGUCCAGAGGUUAGACAAACAGCACACUUACUUUUAUACUAAAAUGUUGAUUAUUAGUUUAUCUUUAUGACUGAUUUGUAAUAUACAAAUAAUUUUAAAUAUCAUUAAUAAAGUACAGUACCUCUACCGCAGCAAACCUGUAGACUAAGCCAAUUUCCAUUUACCUAGCUAGAUGUUCACUAAAAUAUUAACUAAAAAUUACCAGAUUUCAAAAAUUCGGACCUUUCAAAUAACCUUAUUACUAAUGAGCACUUAGCUUUGCUGCUACAGGGAAGGUGUGUUUUUAAUUGAAUCGUGGAUAGUUUAGUAUGAAAUACAAAAAUUUGCCAAAUUAAAUUAUAUUAAAAUAUAUCCAUAAACAUACAAACUACAGCAGUUUACUUUAUUCUCCAUAACAAUGAGCAUGGAAAUGUUGAAUUUACACUUUUUUACUUUCUCCAUAAGGGUAAGGAGUAAAACAAUGCUUAAUGCACUUUUUUUAAACUCUAUAAAAUGAUUUAGAAAUAAAUUGCUGAAUUGUUCAUUUUUAGGGUAAAAAUGGGAAUAACCUAUCUUAAUCCCAUAAAACGGCCCAUAAAUUCCUGUUCCCAUAG